This 253-nucleotide ribosomal RNA is filed under the name uncultured bacterium. Its description in RNAcentral is "partial 16S ribosomal RNA". It matches the Rfam family "Bacterial small subunit ribosomal RNA", at positions 524 to 776 of the family's 1533-position model. The record is from RNAcentral.
UACAGAGGGUGCAAGCGUUAAUCGGAAUUACUGGGCGUAAAGCGUGCGCAGGCGGUUUUGUAAGCCCGAUGUGAAAUCCCCGGGCUUAACCUGGGAAUGGCAUUUGGGACUGCAAGGCUGGAGUGCGGCAGAGGAGACUGGAAUUCCUGGUGUAGCAGUGAAAUGCGUAGAUAUCAGGAGGAAUACCGAUGGCGAAGGCAGGUCGCUGGGCUGACACUGACGCUCAUGCACGAAAGCGUGGGGAGCAAACAGG